UUCUGGUAGGUACCGUCAGCUGAAACUGUCUCUGAAUUACAGUUAUUCUUCCCUUACAACAGUGCUUUACGACCCGAAAGCCUUCAUCACACACGCGGCGGCGCUCCGUCACACUUUCGUGAAUUGCGAAAAAUUCCCAACGGCUGCCUCCCGAAGGAGAAGGGAAUUAUGGGAGGAGAAGGUGGGACGGACCGAGCGUGGGGGAAAAAAAGGGGGUGGGAGAAAAACGGUGGGGAGGGAAAAAAAAAGAGACAAAAAGUUUUACUAAUGCCCAAAAAAAAAGGAGGUAAUAGCGCGCGGGAGAAAAAAUAUUCUUUUUGUUUAGUCGAAACGGAUAGAAAGAAUGAUUGCCUCUGCCUAGACCACUAUGGAAACCACCAUUUCCUAUUACCCCCUUCCAGGCCACUGGGCAGACAUACCAGCUUUAGCCUUAGGGAGUUAAUGGUUCAUCGAUGGCCAUUUCUUUCUCUGCCUUUUUUUGCCCUACCCCCCCCCCCUUUUUUUUCGUCCCUUCCUGAAGGGAGUUUUCGUCUCCCCAUGUUUCCUUUUAUCGCUUUUUUUUCUCGUUUUCUUCNUUUUUUCUUUUCCCUUG
This 592-nucleotide ribosomal RNA is filed under the name uncultured Oenococcus sp. RNAcentral describes it as "partial 16S ribosomal RNA". The record is from RNAcentral. Lineage: Bacteria; Bacillati; Bacillota; Bacilli; Lactobacillales; Lactobacillaceae.